Molecule: ribosomal RNA, 229 nt
Filed under: uncultured bacterium
Lineage: Bacteria
Description: partial 16S ribosomal RNA
Rfam family: Bacterial small subunit ribosomal RNA
Source: RNAcentral
UGCGUAGGUGGCUAUAUAAGUCAGUGGUGAAAUACUCCAGCUCAACUGGAGGGGUGCCAUUGAAACUGUAUAGCUUGAGUAUGGACGAGGUAGGCGGAAUUUGUGGUGUAGCGGUGAAAUGCAUAGAUACCACAAAGAACACCGAUAGCGAAGGCAGCUUACUAGGCCAUAACUGACACUGAGGCACGAAAGCGUGGGGAGCGAACAGGAUUAGAUACCCUGGUAGUCC